RNAcentral lists this ribosomal RNA (306 nucleotides) under uncultured bacterium. Its description in RNAcentral is "bacterial SSU rRNA". It matches the Rfam family "Bacterial small subunit ribosomal RNA", at positions 32 to 332 of the family's 1533-position model. The record is from RNAcentral.
AAUCAACGCUGGCGGCGUGCCUAACACAUGCAAGUUGUACGGGAUUAUUGGUAGCAAUACUGAUAUGAGAGUAGCGCACGGGUGCGUAACACGUAUGCAACCUACCUUUAACUGGGGAAUAGCUCACCGAAAGGUGAAUUAACACCGCAUAAAAUCACAGAAGGACAUCCUUUAAUGAUUAAAUCUCCGGAGGUUAAAGAUGGGCAUGCGUCCGAUUAGCUAGUUGGCGGGGUAACAGCCCACCAAGGCAACGAUCGGUAGGGGUCUGAGAGGAUGAUCCCCCACACUGGUACUGAGACACGGACC